CAGAGCUUGCACUGAAAAUCAAAUGGAGUUAGCCCUGGCUAACUCCAGGGCAGACUGAUCAAGGUGGAAUUAUUCAUCCAUCCACUGGACUCCAUGCUCUAGUGACAGCCCUAUGCCCGUCCUGCAGGGACAAGAGCUUGAGCUGUAGCACUGGUGAAGCCUGAUUUCCUGUGGAUGCUCCUCGAGGCCAUUCUCCUGGAACGGGAGUUCUCUUCCAGGAGAACAACUUACAGUCACAAAACAUAUCACUAGAAAAUGAACUAGAGGUACAAAUCAAAGCACCUGCACCAGUAGCUACACGCGCAGUAUAUUCGAUGAGAGAGCUUUUCCUCUUGGAAAUUUGACCCCAGCUGUGGUUCAGUCAAUAAGCAUCGGUCUCAACAACUGUGUUUAGGCCACAUGCCUGCUUUUCUUGAUGAGACACCAGAAGCAGAUUUAUUCAUUUUGCAAAUAAGCUAUUAGAUUAUACCUUCCUGUGUAUUUGUUUACUUUAUGAGACCUUAAAAGUACAUGUAAAUGUAUUCACCAUUGGGUAGACCUUUGUGGCAUUAAUUAAUCUGCUUGCAUCUCAUAAGGAAGGGAUGACCUGUUUGUGGGAUCAUAGAGAAGUCACAUCUAUGAGAACUGAUUUUUUUGAAUGAAGAUUCACUUACGGGACAAGCACUUCCACUUGUAUCAAUCAGUAAAGGUAUAAAGAGCAUAUUAAUGAUUAAUUCAUAAUCGCUUUUGAUUUGUAAUGUAGACUCGGGCCAGUUACAAUCUUACCAAUUUCUUAUCACUGCCUCCAGACCUGAACUGAGAACUCUAAAUGGUUGCAAUCUGAUUCUGAAAAAUUCAAUAUAAAAUGAGAUUCUGACAUAAACUGUCCUGGAUAUGAUGAAAGGAUGUGUAUGAGCAGAACUAAGCUAUUUUUGAGCUUAGGAGGCUGUCUUCGGGACUCUGAUAGGAAAUUUGUUUUUAUAGGACUAGGCUGGUAUACUGCAUCUAAUAUCCAAUUCUGCAAACACAGAAACAUAUGACUUUGACAUCAGUAGACGUACUCACACAAGUAAAAUUGCUCUCUGAUUGUACUGUUAGUAGGUUCCUAAUUAAUGAAUGUGGUUCUGGUGUUUAGUAAAUUAAGAUAGAACAGAA
Molecule: long non-coding RNA, 1134 nt
Organism: Oxyura jamaicensis (ruddy duck)
Lineage: Eukaryota; Metazoa; Chordata; Aves; Anseriformes; Anatidae
Exons: 3
Source: RefSeq, a predicted model, not a curated record